CGCCGCGUGGGGGAUGACGGCCUUCGGGUUGUAAACCUCUUUUACCACCAACGCAGGCUCCCGGUUCUCCGGGGGUUGACGGUAGGUGGGGAAUAAGGACCGGCUAACUACGUGCCAGCAGCCGCGGUAAUACGUAGGGUCCGAGCGUUGUCCGGAAUUAUUGGGCGUAAAGAGCUCGUAGGCGGCGUGUCGCGUCUGCUGUGAAAGACCGGGGCUUAACUCCGGUUCUGCAGUGGAUACGGGCAUGCUAGAGGUAGGUAGGGGAGACUGGAAUUCCUGGUGUAGCGGUGAAAUGCGCAGAUAUCAGGAGGAACACCGGUGGCGAAGGCGGGUCUCUGGGCCUUACCUGACGCUGAGGAGCGAAAGCAUGGGGAGCGAACAGGAUUAGAUACCCUGGUAGUCCAUGCCGUAAACGUUGGGCGCUAGGUGUGGGGACUUUCCACGGUUUCCGCGCCGUAGCUAACGCAUUAAGCGCCCCGCCUGGGGAGUACGGCCGCAAGGCUAAAACUCAAAGGAAUUGACGGGGGCCCGCACAAGCGGCGGAGCAUGUUGCUUAAUUCGACGCAACGCGAAGAACCUUACCAAGGUUUGACAUCACCCGUGGACCUGCAGAGAUGUGGGGUCAUUUAGUUGGCGGGUGACAGGUGGUGCAUGGCUGUCGUCAGCUCGUGUCGUGAGAUGUUGGGUUAAGUCCCGCAACGAGCGCAACCCUUAUUCCAUGUUGCCAGCACGUGAUGGUGGGGACUCAUGGGAGACUGCCGGGGUCAACUCGGAGGAAGGUGGGGAUGACGUCAAGUCAUCAUGCCCCUUAUGUCUUGGGCUGCAAACAUGCUACAAUGGCCGGUACAAUGGGCGUGCGAUACCGCAAGGUGGAGCGAAUCCCUAAAAGCCGGUCUCAGUUCGGAUUGGGGUCUGCAACUCGACCCCAUGAAGGUGGAGUCGCUAGUAAUCGCGGAUCAGCAACGCCGCGGUGAAUACGUUCCCGGGCCUUGUACACACCGCCCGUCACGUCAUGAAAGUCGGCAACACCCGAAACUUGCGGCCUAACCCUUCGGGGAGGGAGUGAGUGAAGGUGGGGCUGGCGAUUGGGACGAAGUCGUAACAAGGUA
Molecule: ribosomal RNA, 1109 nt
Filed under: Nocardiopsis sp. ABH11
Lineage: Bacteria; Bacillati; Actinomycetota; Actinomycetes; Streptosporangiales; Nocardiopsidaceae
Description: bacterial SSU rRNA
Rfam family: Bacterial small subunit ribosomal RNA
Source: RNAcentral